Salmo salar (Atlantic salmon) is the source of this 54-nucleotide non-coding RNA. Lineage: Eukaryota; Metazoa; Chordata; Actinopteri; Salmoniformes; Salmonidae. The record is from Rfam.
UGCAUGCACUACUGUAAGUCGCUCUGGAUAAGAGCUUCUGCUAAAUGACUAAAA